This 377-nucleotide unclassified non-coding RNA is filed under the name uncultured fungus. RNAcentral describes it as "partial contains small subunit ribosomal RNA, internal transcribed spacer 1, and 5.8S ribosomal RNA". The stretch from base 1 to 73 matches the Rfam family "Eukaryotic small subunit ribosomal RNA", at positions 1759 to 1831 of the family's 1831-position model. Lineage: Eukaryota; Fungi. The record is from RNAcentral.
ACAAACUUGGUCAUUUAGAGGAAGUAAAAGUCGUAACAAGGUUUCCGUAGGUGAACCUGCGGAAGGAUCAUUAUUGAAUAAAUUAAUCAAGUUGUUGCUGGCUUCCAGUUAGGGAAGCAUGUGCACACUUGAUUUAUAUUUCCAACCACCUGUGCACUAAUGUAGAAUUGGAAACAAUUUUCAAGUAAUAACUGACUUGAAUUGAGAAUUGCUGAGUGAAUCAAAGCCAGCUUUUCUUUAUGUUUCAGAUUCUAUGUUUUUUAUGUAUACACCAAUAGCAUGUAUCAGACUAUUGUUUAAUUGAGCAUAUAUGCUCUAAAUUAAAUAUAACUUUCAACAACGGAUCUCUUGGCUCUCGCAUCGAUGAAGAACGCAGC